This 200-nucleotide unclassified non-coding RNA is filed under the name Ascomycota sp. RNAcentral describes it as "partial contains internal transcribed spacer 2 and large subunit ribosomal RNA". RNAcentral also lists the same sequence under 1 other name. The record is from RNAcentral. Lineage: Eukaryota; Fungi; Ascomycota.
UGGGGACCGGCGAGACAGCCGCGGAUCUUCUUCCGCAGCGAGUCGCCGCCCCCCAAAUGACUUGGCGGCCUCGUCGCGGCCCUCCUCUGCGUAGUAUAGCACACCUCGCAACAGGAGCCCGGCGAAUGGCCACUGCCGUAAAACCCCCCAACUUUUUCAGAGUUGACCUCGAAUCAGGUAGGAAUACCCGCUGAACUUAA